Molecule: unclassified non-coding RNA, 218 nt
Filed under: Hevea brasiliensis (rubber tree)
Lineage: Eukaryota; Viridiplantae; Streptophyta; Magnoliopsida; Malpighiales; Euphorbiaceae
Source: RNAcentral
CUCCUGGAAUUUUUGUUGCCUCGCAUUCGUCAAUCGUUUCUUUCAUUGUUUUGGCUUCUACUGAGUCUGCUUUCACUGAAAACCGGGUGAAAAUUUCUGCCAACUUUUCACUUGAAAAGGGUAUCAAGUCUGCCACUUUACGAGGUAAGAAUUUCACUCUGUUUGUGAUUUAGUGAACAGAAGUCUCAUUUUUUUUACCAGGAUGGAGAUCGUUGUAU